RNAcentral lists this ribosomal RNA (250 nucleotides) under uncultured prokaryote. Its description in RNAcentral is "partial 16S ribosomal RNA". It matches the Rfam family "Bacterial small subunit ribosomal RNA", at positions 524 to 773 of the family's 1533-position model. The record is from RNAcentral.
UACAGAGGUCCCUAGCGUUGUUCGGAUUUACUGGGCGUAAAGGGCGCGUAGGCGGCGAGGCGUGUCAAGUGUGAAAUCUCCGGGCUCAACCCGGAAAGUGCGCUUGAAACUACCUUGCUAGAGUACGGGAGAGGGAAGGGGAAUAUAGGGUGUAGCGGUGAAAUGCGUUGAUAUCCUAUAGAACACCGGAGGCGAAGGCGCCUUCCUUGAACGAUACUGACGCUCAGGCGCGAAAGUCGGGGGAGCAAAC